This is a non-coding RNA of Paramuricea clavata, 313 nucleotides long. The record is from the annotation of a GenBank genome assembly. Lineage: Eukaryota; Metazoa; Cnidaria; Anthozoa; Malacalcyonacea; Plexauridae.
AGUAAUAUUCCAAAGUUUCGUUGCGAAAUGUUGUAAAAUGCGGAUAACAUAGCCAUGCGAAGUUUGCCGUUUUUUUCAGUCAUUUUGUAUUACGCACGGGAAAUUGACAGCCCAAUCGGGUGUUGGGGCAUCAAUUUCCCGUUUGUAAUGCAAAAUGACUGAAAAUUGCAAACUUCGCAAGGCUAUAGUAUCCGCAUUUUACAACAUUUCGCAACGAAACUUUGGAAUAUUACUAAUUUUGUGGUGCUCUUUCAAGCUGUGAUGAAAUUUUUGUCUAGAUCAAAAUUUAGUCUAUAAUGCAAAUGGUCCAUUG